RNAcentral lists this transfer RNA (85 nucleotides) under Flammulina velutipes KACC42780. RNAcentral describes it as "tRNA-Tyr (ATA) (tRNA-Tyr-ATA-1-1)". Lineage: Eukaryota; Fungi; Basidiomycota; Agaricomycetes; Agaricales; Physalacriaceae. The record is from RNAcentral.
GCAUCAGUGGCACAGCGGUAACAUGCGGCCUGCCCAUAAAGCAUCGGACAAAUGCGCGCUCGGGGUUCGACUCCCCGCUGAUGCA